This 253-nucleotide ribosomal RNA is filed under the name uncultured bacterium. RNAcentral's name for it is "partial 16S ribosomal RNA". It matches the Rfam family "Bacterial small subunit ribosomal RNA", at positions 524 to 776 of the family's 1533-position model. The record is from RNAcentral.
GACAGAGGGGGCAAGCGUUGCUCGGAAUCACUGGGCGUAAAGAGCGCGCAGGCGGUCGUUCAAGUCGCGUGUGAAAGCCCCCGGCUCAACUGGGGAGGGUCACACGAUACUGAUCGACUCGAAGGCAGGAGAGGGUAGUGGAAUUCCCGGUGUAGUGGUGAAAUGCGUAGAUAUCGGGAGGAACACCAGUGGCGAAGGCGACUACCUGGCCUGUUCUUGACGCUGAGGCGCGAAAGCUAGGGGAGCAAACGGG